This 333-nucleotide ribosomal RNA is filed under the name uncultured bacterium. Its description in RNAcentral is "partial 16S ribosomal RNA". It matches the Rfam family "Bacterial small subunit ribosomal RNA", at positions 338 to 668 of the family's 1533-position model. The record is from RNAcentral.
ACUACGGGGUGCUGCAGUGAGGAAUAUUGGUCAAUGGGCGCGAGCCUGAACCAGCCAAGUAGCGUGAAGGAUGACUGCCCUACGGGUUGUAAACUUCUUGUAUAAAGGAAAAAAGUGAGGCACGUGUGCCUUUUUGUAUGUACUUUAUGAAUAAGAAUCGGCUAACUCCGUGCCAGCAGCCGCGGUAAUACGGAGGAUCCGAGCGUUAUCCGGAUUUAUGGGGGUUAAAGGGAGCGUAGAUGGGUUGUUAAGUCAGUUGUGAAAGUUUGCGGCUCAACCCUAAAAUUGCAAUUGAAACUGGCAGCCUUGAGUACAGUUGAGGUAGGCUGAAUU